GAUGAAGAACGCAGCGAAAUGCGAUACGUAAUGUGAAUUGCAGAAUUCAGUGAAUCAUCGAAUCUUUGAACGCAUAUUGCGCUCUCUGGUAUUCCGGAGAGCAUGCUUGUUUGAGUAUCAGUAAACACCUCAACUCCCUUUUCUUUUUUGAAAUUGGAGCUGGACUUGAGUGAUCCCAACGCUUUCUUCCAAGAAAGUGGCGGGUUGCUUGAAAUGCAGGUGCAGCUGUACUUUUCUCUGAGCUAUAAGCAUAUCUAUUUAGUCUGCCUAAAAAACAGAUUAUUACCUUUGCUGCAGCUAACAUAAAGGAGACUAGUUCUUGUGCUGACUGAUGCAGGAUUCACAGAGACAGCUUCGGCUGACUUUGUAAACUCGAUCUCAAAUCAAGUAAGACUACCCGCUGAACUUAAGCAUAUCAAUAAGCGGAGGA
This 430-nucleotide unclassified non-coding RNA is filed under the name soil metagenome. Its description in RNAcentral is "partial contains 5.8S ribosomal RNA, internal transcribed spacer 2, and large subunit ribosomal RNA". The stretch from base 1 to 120 matches the Rfam family "5.8S ribosomal RNA", at positions 35 to 154 of the family's 154-position model. The record is from RNAcentral.